Molecule: ribosomal RNA, 253 nt
Filed under: uncultured bacterium
Lineage: Bacteria
Description: partial 16S ribosomal RNA
Rfam family: Bacterial small subunit ribosomal RNA
Source: RNAcentral
GACGUAGGGCGCGAGCGUUGUCCGGAUUUAUUGGGCGUAAAGAGCUCGUAGGCGGCUUGUCGCGUCGAAUGUGAAAUCUCAGGGCUCAACUCUGACAUUGCAUUCGAUACGGGCAGGCUAGAGUUCGGUAGGGGAGACUGGAAUUCCUGGUGUAGCGGUGAAAUGCGCAGAUAUCAGGAGGAACACCGGUGGCGAAGGCAGGUCUCUGGGCCACUACUGACGCUGAGAAGCGAAAGCAUGGGGAGCGAACAGG